This 253-nucleotide ribosomal RNA is filed under the name uncultured bacterium. Its description in RNAcentral is "partial 16S ribosomal RNA". It matches the Rfam family "Bacterial small subunit ribosomal RNA", at positions 524 to 776 of the family's 1533-position model. The record is from RNAcentral.
UACGUAGGGGGCUAGCGUUGUCCGGAUUUAUUGGGCGUAAAGAGCGUGUAGGCGGCCAGGUAGGUCUGGUGUGAAAACUCGAGGCUUAACCUCGAGAUGUCAUCGGAAACCAUCUGGCUAGAGUCCGGAAGAGGAGAGUGGAAUUCCUGGUGUAGCGGUGAAAUGCGCAGAUAUCAGGAAGAACACCCGUGGCGAAGGCGGCUCUCUGGUACGUGACUGACGCUGAGACGCGAAAGCGUGGGGAGCGAACAGG